Molecule: ribosomal RNA, 466 nt
Filed under: Vreelandella stevensii
Lineage: Bacteria; Pseudomonadati; Pseudomonadota; Gammaproteobacteria; Oceanospirillales; Halomonadaceae
Description: partial 16S ribosomal RNA
Rfam family: Bacterial small subunit ribosomal RNA
Source: RNAcentral
CCUACGGGUGGCAGCAGUGGGGAAUAUUGGACAAUGGGGGGAACCCUGAUCCAGCCAUGCCGCGUGUGUGAAGAAGGCCCUCGGGUUGUAAAGCACUUUCAGUGAGGAAGAACGCCUGGUGGUUAAUACCCAUCAGGAAAGACAUCACUCACAGAAGAAGCACCGGCUAACUCCGUGCCAGCAGCCGCGGUAAUACGGAGGGGUGCGAGCGUUAAUCGGAAUUACUGGGCGUAAAGCGCGCGUAGGUGGCUUGAUAAGCCGGUUGUGAAAGCCCCGGGCUCAACCUGGGAACGGCAUCCGGAACUGUCAAGCUAGAGUGCAGGAGAGGAAGGUAGAAUUCCCGGUGUAGCGGUGAAAUGCGUAGAGAUCGGGAGGAAUACCAGUGGCGAAGGCGGCCUUCUGGACUGACACUGACACUGAGGUGCGAAAGCGUGGGUAGCAAACAGGAUUAGAUACCCUGGUAGUC